UGCCAGUGGCAGAUCCUCGUACAGCCUACAAUCUCUCCGGAAUGGCGAUCUCUAACAGCAAAGGCAAGCGAUUCUCC
Molecule: transfer RNA, 77 nt
Filed under: Shewanella piezotolerans WP3
Lineage: Bacteria; Pseudomonadati; Pseudomonadota; Gammaproteobacteria; Alteromonadales; Shewanellaceae
Description: tRNA-Met
Source: RNAcentral